GACGAACGCUGGCGGCGUGCCUAAUACAUGCAGGUUGAGCGCUGAAGGUUGGUACUUGUACCAACUGGAUGAGCAGCGAACGGGUGAGUAACGCGUGGGGAAUCUGCCUUUGAGCGGGGGACAACAUUUGGAAACGAAUGCUAAUACCGCAUAAAAACUUUAAACACAAGUUUUAAGUUUGAAAGAUGCAAUUGCAUCACUCAAAGAUGAUCCCGCGUUGUAUUAGCUAGUUGGUGAGGUAAAGGCUCACCAAGGCGAUGAUACAUAGCCGACCUGAGAGGGUGGUCGGCCACAUUGGGAAUGAGAAACGGCCCAAACUACUACGGGAGGCAGCAGUAGGGAAUCUUCGGAAAUGUACGAGAGUCUGACCGAGCAACGCCGCGUGAGUGAAGAAGGUUUUCGGAUCGUAAAAAUCUGUUGGUAGAGAAGAACGUUGGUGAGAGUGGAAAGCUCAUCAAGUGACGGUAACUACCCAGAAAGGGACGGCUAACUACGUG
This 497-nucleotide ribosomal RNA is filed under the name uncultured bacterium. RNAcentral describes it as "partial 16S ribosomal RNA". It matches the Rfam family "Bacterial small subunit ribosomal RNA", at positions 28 to 507 of the family's 1533-position model. The record is from RNAcentral.